Molecule: ribosomal RNA, 331 nt
Filed under: Duplicaria sp. NP3
Lineage: Eukaryota; Metazoa; Mollusca; Gastropoda; Neogastropoda; Terebridae
Description: partial 12S ribosomal RNA
Source: RNAcentral
UUCUGGAUGUAAAUUGACCAGAGUACUAUGAAUAUGAAAAAUUUAAAACUCAAAGAACUUGGCGGUGUUUUAGACCACUUAGGGGAACCUGUCUCAUAAUCGAUAAUCCACGUUAUACCUGACCUUUUUUUGUUAUCAGUUUGUAUACCGUUGUCGUCAGGUAACUUUUUAGAAUUUAGAAGUUAGCAAUUAAGAAAAUAAUCCGUUACGUCAAAUCAAGGUGCAGCUAAUAGAAAGGGGAGGAUGGGUUACAAUUAUAAAUCAUAAUAACGGAAGGUGGACUUAAAAGUAAAUUAAACAUAAGCAAUUUGAAUAAGGCUCUGAAACGCGU